GCUGCUGCUGGAGUACACACACACACACACACAGAGAAAGAGGAAGGUGGUAUUGCUAAAUUAGGAAAUGGAAGUUCAUGUGAAAGACGUUUUCCUCAGGAAAAGAUUGCUUGGCGUGUUCCAAGGCAGACGACCCUGGUUUACAUUUGCUCGUGUCAAAGGCGCUGCAUGCUACAGACAGAGCAGACCGAAACCAACAGAGUGCUUCACAAAUACUGAUGGAGAGUGAAAAUGCAAAAGGAUAACUGCGGCGUCUAAAGGGAAAUUGUCCAAGCACAGGAGAAGAGGCAUACUGGAAAGAGAAGAGCCUUCGCUCCUAGCUGGGCGGCUCCAGAUUAUUCACUGGAUAAUCUUCCUCCAGUAAGAAGUGUCUUGAACUGAAAGGCAUCUUUGAUCGACCACUCCUUACCGAAGUGAUCAAAACUUUGUGCGUAGAAACUGUUUUGUUCCUCAUUGCUAUUGCUUAACCUCGGUCAUUUGCAUGCUCUGUAUGGCAAAUGUCAGCAAGAGGUCUAUGGACUUGCCAGACUGAAGUAUCCACUCAGACAGCAUUACAGUGUCACUUCAGACCUUCUUCGAAGGCAUCACACCGCGGCUAAUUAAUUUGAGGGCUUUGUUACAGGAGGGAAGGCAUUUCCUUAUGGAGAGAGGCUUCCUUUACCAGUGGUGUUUGCUGGAAGGAGCAGGGCAGGAUGGGCCCAGCAGCAAAGGAGGAGAUAAGGGGCUGUUCCUGAGGGCGGAAGUUAGCACUGCCACCGUGCAUCCAUGCGGGUAUCUGGUCUGAGAGGUCUAACCCUGAUCCCAUGCCCAUGGAAAUCAAUGACAGGAUUUCUGCAGACUGUUGAAGGGGCCAUCGAGAGGCUGAGGAGCAGCUAACAGCCCAGCCUGGCACAAACAGUUUGUACUGCAGUACCCACAUGUGCCACACACUGGGCUGGACAGAUCCUGAGCUCUGUGUGGGUGAGGGAAAUGGGCCUCAGACAAUCAGGGCCUGGGGGUCGAGAGCCUGGUGGUCAAUCUAUUUUUCUUAGAUGACAAAGAUGUAGUUACCAAACUGAGACUGCCCGGAGGUGCUCAGGCUUGGUGGGUUUUAUUGCUGGAGCCUCAAGGAAGCAGCCCAGUGAUGAGGGGUCUCCCUGCUUUGUCCCCCAUUUUGUGCAUCUUCUCCCUUUGCUUGCUGAGGUUUCACCUCAGGCCUGCCUCCACUUUGGGAACACUGAAUAGCUCUUAAUGACAGCAGCACAAACAAAACCAUAUAAAGACAGGAUUUGUGAUUUACGUGGGGUUAAUUACCACAACAAGUAUGUUUAUUCACUUCUCUAAUAAAUCCUGAAGACAGGAACAAGUACUAGCUUGACCAGAUUCAUCCUGUGCAUAUGUUUUUUCUGUCACCAUUUUUACAAAUCUAUAUGUGCAGGAUAGAUAAAAAAGAGACAAAGUAUCUCCCAUCAUGUAGGCACUAACCCAUAGCCCAUGUGUGCUCUUCAGCCUGCCGAUGGCGUCAUCAUUUACUUCAGAUCUUCUUGAGGAAAAUAGGCUCUUUGGUGACUUUUGCAAGUCCUUUUUUUUUUUUUUUUUCUUUUUCUUUUUUUAAGGAAAUAAAUGGAUCGUAAAUGAGCAUUAACUACAUCAGUGUGAUCUAUUGCUCUGACACCUAUUUGCCACAGGAGGAAGGUGAGGUCUCCAUUUGUCUCUGCUAAAGGAAUGAGGUAUUUCUAACACGAGGUUAGAAGGCUGCAGUGACAGGAGCUGGGCAUGCCCAGGCCCUGCUGUGUGAAGCUGUGCUUCAGUGAGGGCACUCUGUAGCCCAUCACUCGCUCACUAACAGAAUGACUUGGUUCCAUCAGUCUGAUUUACAGGAGAGGGAACUGAUGUAGAGAAGUGAGCAGUGCCAUUGGGAGCGUGUGUUUUUAAGUGACAGAUCUCCGAGUGACUUCAUGCAGACCAGUGUUACUCAACAACGUCCUGUUUGACUGUGUUCUGAUAUAUGUCGGUUGCAAGAAGGUUUUCUUGACCUGCUGAUUCUGCUUCAGCCAUCUUCCAUGUUUCCAGUGUCCGUGUCCGUGUUGGGCUGACUGCAGUCCCUGAUUUGCUAGAGAAGUCGUUGCCAUGGCUCAGCACCGUGCCAGACGGGGCCCCCGCCGCCCUGAGGAAUUUGUGUCAGAUAGAACAUUUCGUACGAUGCAGAAGGUUCUGUCACCUUGAUUCGAAGGAAGUUGUUUGUGUUAAUGCUUAAAGGUAACGUGAGACGAGGCGAGCUCUUUACUUUGGAACACGCGCUGUGCCAUUGAUGUGCGCAGUACAGUAAAUAUAACAAAGAGCGCACUGUGGUAUUUACACCCACCGCAAACACAUUUGCAAAAUAGGAUUAUUUGCAAUCCAAUAAAAUGGUACUGCUUUUAAGGCAGAAACCCUGUGUGUUCAGUGAAGUGUGCUCCUCAGCUUUUCUUACCGUUUAUCGACCCGACACAUUCCUCCCCAUUUUUUUAAUGCCUUCCAUUAAUAGUUAAGAAAAACCUAGGGAAAACAAACACUCUUUUCCUGAUUGUUUAUUCACCAGUCUCUUAGGAACCAUAAUUACGUCUCCCAGGAAUUGUGUGUUUUAUCAUACUGUAUAUCUUAAAGAGCCACUUUAGGUAAAAUAACAAGGAGUGCCUUAUGAAGGAAAAUUGGAUUCAUUUUAAGACUUUUUUAACCCUCCAAAGAAUGGCUCUUUGUUUACUUCUUUAGUGCAUGUGGCAACUUGCCCAAGUAAAUACUAUGCUGCAUAAAUACCAGAGAUUGGUAUUUAUGAUAUUACAUAAACAUACUCUGAAUAAUGACUCAUUGUUGCGAUGAAGACGAAUGCAAGCAAUAUACAUCGCAGUCAGUGCGUUAUUUCUUGUCACUUUAUUAAGUGGCAUUGAGCGUUGCAGGACAAAAUGACAGCAACUGGAGAGGAGAAGUCUGAUUGCGUUAUUUAGCAGAUCUGAGUUUACAAAACAGAAGAGAAAACAGCCAAAACAGGAAGGUUAUGAGGAUAACAUAGCAGAUUAAUUAUCAAUAUGCAGGCUCCUCAGGAACAGCAGAGAAAGCCUGCAGAGUGGGAGGGUGACCCUCAUAAUACGUGGAGGAGUGGGAUGCUCAGCUGUGGGAGGACUCUGCUCCAGGACUGCAGGCCUGCACACUGUGAUUGAGGAUGGAUGCAGACUUAAUUUCACUGGCAAACGCUUUGAAAAGUGCAGCCCUCUGUAACACCUCCCGAAGAAGAAAAGACAGAGACAGACUGCAUGUCAUUCCUUCACUCCUGUGUGCCCAUAUCAGCACUCACUGCGCCUACAGAGAAGCACAAGAAUCACACGGUUCCAGGCAAAAUGCAUGUAUGUGAGCACUUCUUCUUCUGUGCAGAACAAAGUACGUCUGCCCUGCAGCUAUCCUGAGGAGUAAGAAUGGCUCACAGUCAGUGACCCAGCAGCGAUGCACACUGCGCCGGCACCAGAGGAUCACCAGAGGAGCUGUGAACUACCCCAGACAGAAAGCAGUGGUGCAAAGGUACUGUUGGUAAGGGAGAUGGCACUCAGGCUGGGAAGCAUGCAUGUAUGAAACUCAGCCCAAAUAUGCUCCUUUACCUGAACACAUGGGAACUACGUCCUUCCUGCCCUCUGCUUCAGGAGUUGGAGAGCAGGAGCGUUCUCUGUCCUGCCAUCCUCUGCCUGGGAGCAAAGCAGGGCAGGGGAGGCACCGGUCAGCAUUCAGGUUUUGUACUGGCUUCAUGCCAUUGCCACUUUGUCACUGCAGUUGUCCUGUUCAGCUGGGACAGGAGCCACUGAACCACAAACAUGCCCAUGCUGAGCUCUACCCUGGUGGUCUUCAUCCCAAUGUGGGGUCCACCUCGUUCCCCACAGGCUGCUGGGUUCAGUUAGCAUCUCUGUGGUCUCUUUUUCUCUCUGUCACAUCCUUUUCUUUCAGCCAAGUGCCUACUUGCAUGUAGGGCUCAAGGGGUCUUCGAAUAUGGGUGAAAGCAAAACGCACAAGAGAAGUUCCAUGAGGAAGGACAGGCUGGUGACCAUGUUGUCUGUUGUAUGUAAAUAGCUUUCCUUGGCAUUGCUUCUAACUGCUGGGUUAUGGUAGGGUUGUGCUCUUGAAUUUCUGAAUAGAAAUAAGGUGAAAAAUACUACUUUUUCACCUGAUGCUGUGCGCCUGAUGCAGAUGUCUGUGAAAUGACCUGUGUGUUUUAGCAUAAGACCAGAUAAAGGGAUAUGGUUUUAUACCUUCAUGCUCCACAGAAGUUUCUGUUGCUCUGCACCACACAGGGCUUGGCCAGUCCCUGUGUUGCAGCUCACCUGUCCAACUUCAACCCUUGAUUAGCAACUUUGUAGAGACGAUCUGAAGAAAAGCUCAGUGGAAAAGGUGCUCAUUAUCUCCAUAAGAGAUUUUGUCACAGCUGGAUAACAAAGUACAAAACUGGCCAGGAUUCCCCAUCGUAAUCUACAGGUGUUAGUGAUGAAAGUACCAGCCCCUCCGCUUUCAGCUGCACGCAGUAGUUAGGUGCUGUGUCACGCAGUACCGCAUUGUAUCAGUGGAUCUAGAGAUAGCGUACUCAGGUGUUUGUGUGUUACCCAGAGUGUUUCUGUAAUAUAAGUUUGUCUUAGGAAAAAAGAAAAAGAUGCCAGUGGCCUUGUCAGAUAUCUCUGAGCGAGAGCCAGAGUCGUGUAAGGGACUAGAAGUGUGAUAGCCAUUCUCCUACAGCCACAAGCAUCCAGCUGGUAUUAUUUAUGCACCAUUGACAGUGGGACAUGCUCAGACUUGAAGGACUGGUGCUGACCUUCCCUUGCUAAUCAUUUAUACACUCCUUGUUUCGAGCGCUCCACCUUAAGGUUUCUCAUGACUCACGUUCUCUCUGGAGUGAACAAAUAAAUCCUGAAGGACUCUGCAUGCUUCCAAGUGUGUAACCUGUCCCCUCGUACUGGUCCUGUUUUCAGCAACAGAAGCUCUCCAAGUAGCACUGCUAUUUAUUAAGGUGUGACCUCGGAGCCAUAGGACCUUGAGAGCUGAGAGGAUGGUGGCUUCAGCUUGGCUUAGGCUUAUCCUAAACUGUCAGUCCAAUGCUUUUGUGGGUGCCAUGAGGGAGGAAUAAAACUCCUCUGCAGUCUUUGGAAGCAGGAAAAUUGGGCUAGAAUCAUAGAAUGGCUGGAGUUGGAAGCAUGCAGAGUUCUCUCUCCAAAAUGGGGAGCAGUAAUUCAUGUCAUUUUCCUGAACUUCUGUAAGGCUUUAGGCAUGGCCCACAUCAUGUCCUUGUCUCUGCACUGGAGACGUGGUUUUGAAUGGACUGUUUUGUGGAAAAGAAAUGGACUGGAUGUCUGCAUACAGGGAGUUGCAGUCAAUGGCUCAGUGUUCAGGAGGAGAUCUGUGAUGAGUGAUGUGCCUCAGGAGACACACAGCUGUUAGAGCAGGCCCAAAGGAGAGACACAGAAAUGACUGGAGGGCUGGAGCAUUUUGCUUUCAGAUAUCCUUUAGUUGAAGGGAAUGGUAAAUUGAGGCCUAUUUCUGGAUUGUUCAGAACAAAAGACUUGAUCGUGGACACUCAAAUGCUGAGGGUGCUGCUGAUAAUCCUUGUUGUUCUCUCUGUAUUGAUGGGUCCAUCUGGGAGGCAGGGUUGACAUUCCCCCUUACCUUCCACUGCUUCUGGAAGUGGUACAUAAGCAGCAAAUGGUUGCAAAUGCUUUGAAUAUACAAAUAGAGUAGAAAGGUGAGUAUCAUAAAUAGUAUGACUGUAUUACAACGUAUAGGAAUAAUGAAAAACAUCAACAUUGUUGUUAAUUAGACGUGCAGUUCGUGAGCAGAGUGUUGAGCUUUGAGGAACAGGUAGGCCGGAGAGGAGAGGGCAAUAAGAGGGUACAAGAAAAUACCGCCUUGUCUUUGUCCCUUCCUUGUGUACCUCUUCCCUAAGAGGAGCUGCAGGGCAGUAGAGUGGGUGAGAAGGACAUCCCAGCUGGAAGGUCUGCUGAGAGCUUUGGAGAGCUCGUCUGUGGGGUCAGGGUUGGCUUGGCCACAGGGUCAGAGGUGGAGGGGAGGAAGGAACAUGUUUUGGCUUAUGUUCCAGACUGUGGGGCUGGAUUAGGUGCACGCACCUGGGAUAGGCUAAUGAGAAUGGGGACACGUCAGAAUGUCAUUGUGAAGGAGAGAGGCUUGAUCUGCUGUGUUGUGAGCGCUGCUGCCCUCAUGGUGCCUGGGCACAUCUGACAGGACAGAGCUUACCACAGCACUCACAGGGGAGCGAUGUUAGGCACUAUGGGUUGGUCCAGCAUGAGUAACUCAAACUGCAGGGGUGUGAUGCAGAGAAGGAUGUGGUUCUUUUAAUUCCUUCCCCUUGUCCCAUUGUUUCCUUCCCAGGCGCACACAAAAUCUUCCUCUGCCUCUCCCUCCCAGCCCAGCUUUUCUCCUCUCUUUGGUUGUCCUUUUGUCCUUCCCUCCUGUAGAGCCAAGCUCAACAGCGUAACCCACACCCAACAGAAAGGGACUUCUUUUGGCAAUUUCUCCAUAUCUGGGACCCAUAUGUCAAGCAAAACAAUUGCAAAUGGGCUUAGUUGGCAUUCCUUUGGCACGGAAUGGCAGAAAGCACGGGCAGGAGUGGGUUCUUCAGAAAAGCUUGGAUUUCACAGCUGUGCCCAUGAGCGGCACUGGGGGACACUGUAUGACCUCAGAGAGCCUGGUCCCACCACAGAGCUGCAGUGGGAGCCCAGGUCCUGACUCCUUCACUGCAGGCGGGAGGUUGGGAAGGUCAGGCUGUGUGCAAGCAGGUGCCUCCUGUGCCCAGGACAUGGAGGACAUGACCUGCCCUGCCAUUAGCUGUUAGAGUCACGCUCUAGAGGCUGGCUUCAGAGGAUGCGUUAUGUCUUUGUGAAGCACCACACACAGGGUCAGGGCUAGAUUGCCUCAUCACCAAAACACAAAUUCAUGUAUUUGUCCUGAAGCGAGGCUGGUGCAACAGGACAAAAUGGAAUAACGUAACAGCUGGGAGCCAGGGUGUGCUGCAACGUCAGAGGAGAAAUACCCCGGGAGCCCUACAGGAAAGCAAUGGUGAACUCUACUCUCAGAUUAAUCAGGCUUUUAUUUCUGCCACAGUCACGAUGUCAAAGCUUUUCUCUGCAUGCUGAAGAUGCCAUGUCUGGCACUGAGAGCUGCAGUGUGGUGGAGAUACAUCUUUUAAUGGAAGUUCCCAGGCUGCGUGCCAGGACACUGCAAACAGACACAUUUAUGGUCUUUCAGGUACAAACAUGACUGAUUUGUGAUCAAGAGGAGGAUGUGGUUCUUUCCACUCCUUCGCCUUGUCCCCUUCUAUGCCAUCCAAAGCACACACGUCUCCACGAUGCAACCUUCCCAGGGCUGGUAAACAAUAUUCCUAUUGUAAAUUACUUCAGGAUCUUCACAAAAAAAUUAGUACAAUCCCCACAAGCACAGAUUGUUAAAAUACUCUGUAAAUUACUUGUCUGGCUUCACUGGGGUAACUCAACAAGUCCAGCAGCUGUAGGGCUUAUCUCACAUCUCGGUUGCUGAACCUGUGCUCUUUUGUCACUGACUCCAAUGUGUAACUUUGUUAACAUCGAAUAGUUUGCAAAUUGGGAAAAACUCCUCUAGGAAUUUGAAAUUUGUAUUUCCUUAGUGAUCCUGGACCCAAGUGGACAGUGAGAAGGGACCUGAUGCUCAGUGCGUGCAGUGUGCUGAAGAAGUGCAUCUCUGCAGACAGCUGCAGGCAGCCCUGAGCUUGCUGUGCUCGCGCUGUGCAAUGUUCAGGCCGGUGCCGGCCCCACGGCCGCGUUCUGCUAUCAGGGCAGGAACUGUAGAGCGACGUUUUUCAGACACCUCCUUGGGUUUGACAGUGAGGAACGUGGCUGCUCUGCAGUCUUGUGGUGCGUGUGACAGUACGACUGUGCUCGCAUGUACAAAGCCAGCUGCCAUCUCUGUUGCAGUGUUAAGAAAAUAUAAGUUAAAGGUGCAUUAUGUCCAGCAACAGCCCCAAGGUGUGCUGGAUGCAGUGAUCUAUGACAAAGCAGCAGUUUAUGGCCUCACACUACUGUUUUCUGUCAACCCGCUCACAGAGAAGUAUUUGUGGCGUUGUUGGUCCCAUGCUUCAUGGCAUUAUUUCUCCAGGACCGUGAGCAGGGGACUGCUUGUCAUCUCAAGUUGGGUACUGCCUGAUGUUUCUCUUCUAACAGUAAUAUAAAGCCUCUGUGCAUCAAUGAGAGGGGCUGAGAGAUGCAGGAACUGCUGCAUAUGCAGCAUUAUUUACGGAGACCAGUGCUGGGCUAUUUCUCCACCUACUUCACCUCCUCCACUCAAGGGCGUUCAGAUGCCUUGUAGACCAAACGUGCAGGGGGCAGUAAUAUUUUUACUAGGCCAACUGAUAAACAAACAUAUUUUGGGAGCCGUUCCCAGGGCCACGCAGCAGUUCUGUGAGAUGAAGUCCUGGCGCAGGACUCCUGGGCUUUACCAAAAGUCCAGAAACCACUGUUUCUCCCCUCGUGGCCAGUCCUGUCUCAGCAAUAUUUUGAUUGCUCUCCUAUAAAAACUCUUUUCUUUCCCCCCUCUGGGCUGUUAAUGUUACCACAUAGAUAUUUUCUAUCAACCUACUCCAGAAAAUUUAAGUUAUUCUGAAAAGGGAAUUAAGUAAGGAAGAUUUACUGCAGUUUGAAAAAGCCAGCGCUUGCAAGACACGUCCCCCAAGGAACGCUCUGUGAUCCAGGGGAUCAUUUCGUACCAUUGCAUUGGCAGCACUUCCCUGGUCAAUGCCUUUCCGCGUUUCUUCCUGGGAUAUUAAGGUGAAUUUAAUCAUCAGUUAAAACAUCUAGCAAGAUGAAACUUGUUUCCAGAAGCGGUUUGAUUGGAGUCGCAUCGAGUUAUUUAGUUUCCACUUUUUAGUGGCAUUUUUUGCAGCACUGAUUAUCAAGUAGUUGUUGGUUUCACCCCAUUCCCAAUAACUGGGGCAAAAUUUGGAAGCAUUUCACACCGAUCUUUGCAGAGCAAGAGCAGGAUGGUUUGUUCAAUCCCCAUGUGGGAUUUGUUCUACAUUCACUGCAUUGCUGGGUGUCCUCACCUGGCUGGCUGUGCUGCUGUCUCCCUGGCUGUGUGUUGUAACCUAAAGGCGAUUAAAGAUGGCUGCAAGGCGGCUCCAGCUUUACCAUCUAAAACUGAGCGAAUGGAGGUAAGUGGUGCAUAGAUUUCUGAUUCUCUCAACAGAAGGGCCGCUUGCCUUUAUUAUAGCUGGCACUUAAUCACAAACCAAGACACUUCCAGUCUGGCUGUUCAUCUCUGGGCUCUACAGAAAGAGCCAUGGCUGUGCUGAGCAGGGCCUGUGGUGGUGCCAAGCCAAAGGAGAGCCCCCAGUCACCAUCACCAAUUUGUGAACAUGGGUGGGACCAGGCCCUGGCAGGCCCUGCACUGCCCCGGUGUCCUGGCAAAGCCUGCAGGGAGGUGGUCCUGCAGCCCCAGCAGCAUCCCUUGGAAGCAGGCAUCGCCUCGCUGCCCGCCACGGCCACUGAGCGAUGCCUGGCAAAGGUGACUCAGAGGCAGGGAGCCCUGCUAAGGCCCUGGCACAUCCCUGCACUGAAACACUGCCUACAGCCUCCUGCCUCUGCCCAGCUCGCCCUUCCUGCCGCCUUUCCCCCGGGGUCCUAACUCCCGACUUUGUUGCUCUAUAAACAUAAUAACAAUAAUUAUUCUCUCAUUGGACACAUAGCCAUCUUCUUUGUUUGCAGGCUUAGAUAAAUAUCAUUCAAAUCAUGGAGUCUGAUUCAUGAGUCAGGAUGAUGGCAGCCCUCCAAAACCUCCUUGCCCAUGGAGAGUGUGUUUGUGUGAGAGAGAUAGAGAGUUUCACUGUAUGAAGCGUAAGAAACUGGAAGCCAAGUGAAUUAAAUACAAAGCAGAUAAUUAUGUGUAAUUCAUUUACUGACUAAUGAUUGCACCUGGUACAGAAGUUUAUGAAUUCAUUUCACUCUGCAUUUGUUCUCAAAAAACAAUCUCUCUGCACAAGAUAAAAACUAGGCCUGUGUUUACGUUGGUAUUAUUGUAAGAUUCUGUCUCUCUGGUUCAUUCCCCAUUUUUUCUCACGACGUUUCACUUCUCCUGAGUUCACCUGGUGUCUCCUUGGCAGCGACAGCUGCUCCGUGCAGGCAGGGGCUGGGUGUCACAGCAGAAUGGAGCCUUUGCUUCUCUCCUGCAGUCUGUGUGGUGUGAUUACACACAAGGCUUAUCUCCCAUGUGCUACAGCCAAACUUUGCCACCGAGGCUGUGCCUGCAGUGGGGAUCAGCAGGUCAUGGUCCCCCUCCCCCCUCUGCUGGGAUGGUCAGCAACUUGCUGCUCUUGCAGUGGUGCCACCCAGCUGUCCCUGCAGCCCGACACCAUCAGCUCCUUCCAGCUGCAGGUGGUGUCAGCCUUCACCUGCUGACACCUGGGUUGAAGACCCCAGGGGCCUCUGGCAAGGUGAAAAAGCUCGUGCAAAUCCAUGGGGGACAGCAGUGCCAUUGGUGCUGAUGUCACACUGAGGACAGCAGCCUGUGUGACACUGCUUGCACUGUGAGCUUGGGAGUGGAGCUCUGAGCCACGCUGGGCCCAAGGCUCUGCUGGAUGUGGGCAGCAGCAGGGACACUCCUAAGGUGAUGCUCUUACCACGUCGAGGAAACAAAAGACCUUUUCCAGCUGUAUCCCAUGGGCAGUCAUCAGGCAUCCAGCAAAGCCCCUCCUCCCAGUCCAUCAGUGUGUCAAAGACAUCUCACCUCAAUCAUCCAUCACCCUGCAAAUACAUCUGCACACUCGGUUCAUUGCUCAGGUCCUCAGGUCCUCCUGUGAUGGCUGAUGCUCAAAGCAAGAAUUGCUGCUUCUUGCUGAGCAUGCCCAGCACCAUCACACGGCGGGGCUCUGUCCAGUAAUCAAUCCAUUAACGGGGUGCAGGAGAGGUAAGCGCGUGGGAGAGGGCUACAUCUGCAGGCACUGGCUGAGAGUAGAUUUAUGUGGGAUGUCCUUUAAGGCCAACUUUGGGAAAGGAACCAACUGGAAUAACAUAAGGAAGAGGGAAGUUACUUAGCAGUUUGAAUAGUUAGUAAAUUGUGACAUGCUCACAUGAAAGAACAUGCUGAGUUCACCUACAUACACGCUUUCCAGCAUUAUUUCCACUGAGUCUUUGCUGAAGCGUAAUAGUGAAGCUGAGCUCGUGGCUGCCAAUGGAACAGCUGCAGCAGCAGAUCUAACCACCAGUGCUGCACAAACACAGUGGGAGGCGUCUCCCUGCAGCCACCGCCAGCACUGUGCGGUGCCAGGAGAGCAUCACUGCUGCCCAGCUCCUCUGCUCCCAGCACAGCACUGCCCUACAGCCUGCAGCCCUCCUGGGGAGGCGGCGAAAAGCAGUGGAGGUGCUGCUUUCUCCAUCCGUGGCAGCCACGGGUAACAAAAGCAUCUGCAGUUGAAGAAAAAAUAACCCUCUGCUCCAGUAUUGGAGUGAUUUGUCAUUAGAAAAGCCAAAACCAGCUCAUCUUGUUCACGAGUGCUCCCACUGACUAAAGCGGCAGUCAGCAUGCGCUCUGGUUUUGAACCCAUGCAAUCCUUUUCCGAUGAAGACCUGACAAGCCAGGACAGAUUGCAGGCCGGGAGAUACUCACAGAGCGAUAGUGCCUUACCUGUAGGUGGAUCCUCAUUUUAGAUAGCACGAAGCAGAGCCAGGGAGCUGAUUCACUGCUCUUCUCCAGAUUUUCACCGGAAUAACACCACUGAAUCAUCAGCAAAGUUGAAAUAACAAAUGAUAAAAUGGGACCAUUGUGUUUAAGUUUGCAGCAUGCGUAUGGAAAUGAGCAGCUCUUUCUUGCAGAAUGCCUUUCUUGCGUGGAUACUUUCUGUGUGCUGUUUCCCAAACGUAUCACUAAGAUGAGAAUAUGACACUUAGGCAGCAGUUAUACAUGUCAACCCCCUCCUGCCCAAUUAAAAUCAAAGCUAACAGCUGGUGGGAAUGACCUCAGCACACCUACUCUGCUCUUUUUUCACUAUUCAGAAGAAAAAGGAGGAUGAGGAGGACUUCUACAGCUUCCGAAACGACUCCAUCUUUAUACAUGGUUCGUGUAUUGCUGCUCAGCAGCUAAAGCUUAGAAGCUGCUAAGUUAAGAAACACAGCCCUGGUUUCUCUUCUAUUUAUGAAAAUACUUGCUGAACAAUUGAAAAGGACUGCGUAACUGUGACUUUUUUGCAAGUAAUGCUCUGGAAAAGCAACUGAAGGCAACAGGCAAGCUUGCAAUUAGUAGUUCUAAUUAUAAAGUGUAUACAGAAAACAAUGUAGCAUCAUAAGUAAAGGCCAAGUUCAAAUGAUGCAAUAGGAACAGUAGAACACCAUGUAACAAUGGCAAAGCAUCCAGCAAGAGGAAUACUUCUAAACGAGCCGUAGUUCUCCCGUGAUAGCAACAACAACAAAAAAAGAGGAGAGAAAAUAAUAGCACAGCACUGUAUUCAAUGUAACUGCUGCAGUAAUCCUUUCUCAGUGCCACCCAACGCUCAUGCUUCUGUUGCAGCCCACAGCCAUCCCUGGAUAACACAGCUGCAGAGCAAGACCCAGUAAUGAGUGAUUAUUGCAGACCUGGGGGGGAGGGUCUCCUAUGCUGUUUGUUUAGCCAGGAACUGCUAUUUCCAUCACUGACAGCAGCUACCAAAUACCAAAGUAUGCUGCAGGGGUCUUUGCUGCAUAGUCUGUGGUGUGUAUAUGUGUGUGUCCCCUAAACUUCACCAGUCUGACAGCACUUCAUGUACUGAAUGGGAACUGAGAACCUCCAGCAUUAGUGUGUGCAGCAGCAGCAGCACAGGGUUACGUGCUGUGCUAAAGAACUGCUCUCAAAAUUAAGGCCUGGGUGCAACCAGAGAAGGUGAAGAGACAUAAUACCUUAGGGAAAUGGUUUUAUUUAUUCUGCCUGGAUGCAUAUAUGGCAAUCACCCAUGUAGCACGAUCCACAAUGCUGAAAACCAUUUCAUUAUGUUCUAUAAGUAAGAGCCUGAUGUGGUUCAAUUGUAUCAAUUAUGCAAUGCUUCUAAGUGGUGUAGUCAAGGGUAAAUGCAGGCAAAGGGCACUCCCUUUGUACCUGCUUCUACUCUGGGCACUUCUAAUAUUUACCUGCUCCUCAUAUACCACAGACAGAUGAAUCUGCCCACUUCUAUUUACCGCUGUAUCACUGACUCCUCUUUGGUCAAGAGCUUUUCCUAUGCACCGAUGACACAAUGAAAUAGAAAAUGGAAGUCAAGACACUGCUAUGUGUUCGUCUGUUGUGCAAGAUCUAAGUGUGGCUGCAAUUUUGAGCAAAGCAUCGGUUUUAAACAAUGUUUAAACUGACACUAUUAUUAUGCAAUAUAAUUAAUUAUAGCUAGAAGGGCAUUUGAGGUUAUUUGGCACUACCUUUGUCCAUUUCAUAAUUAUACCAAGAGAAUGACUAAGUUGUGCCUAGGCUAAUUGUACCCAUUUGGUUUUAUCCCUCCUCUCUGCCAUCCUAAGUCACUUGCAUCCUGAUCUGGGAGUUUUUUGGAGGAGUUUGGAUGUGUUUGUGCCAAACACAAUGGAGCCCAGGCUGGCUAGGCAGCCUCAGGUAAUAUUGCAAUAGAAGCACUAACAAUAGCAAUAGUAAUUACUGCUAGACAAAGUGAUAAGUACAAAACAAAUGUCACUUUUUUCAGUCACUGUUAUGGUUGCCUACAGAAAAUUUAUCCUUAUCUGCUCCUGCUCUGUGCAUUCUAGGACGUGUUUGCGUAGCCAGAAGAUAAAGCUUCGUGGCAUGACGUGAUGUCCUCCAGAUGUACUGGGAAGCCCUUCACACACCUCCAGAGAGCAGCUGAAGAGCAGCAGCAGAUGGCUGUGGCAGCAUGCAACGCACCAGCCCCGCUGCCCUAUGUAUCAUGGGGGCUCAGUGUUCAAGGGAUGCACAGUGCAGCUCAGAAGCCUGGGCUGAUGGGGCUGGGUGCUGCAGCGCAGACAUGGCACCGUGAAACCUCUGUGCCCCAGGGCCUGCAGUUUGCUGCCGGUGUUAGGGCCGUGGUGAGGAUGGCAGCUCACCCAGCCUCUGGAGCCAGGCUGGCUGCCUGACAGCCCGGCCACAAGUGCUGUGCCAUAUUGAAGCUCAGCAGCUGCCCCAAGCUGGCAGGCUGUGCGCCAGCCAGACGAGCUGCCCAGAGGUAGCAGUGAGUAAGGCAUCACUUCUGAACGUGACUUGGCAGUGUCAGGAUUAAAACCAAAGAGCCAACAAAAGCAAAAAUAAAAAUAAUUUAAAAAAUAAAAACAAAACCUAACAAUGAUAACAGUGAUUUCUCCAGAAAAGAAUCAGGUUGAGAAAUGGUCUUACCUUAAGAAAAGGCUCACUGUGGCCUUCCAGAAGGGAGCUCACAAGCAGGAGGGGGACAGGGCAAAGGGGAAUGGUUUUAAACUGAAAGAGAGGAGAUUUAGGAUAGGUGUUAGGAAGAAAAUCUUUACUCAGAUGGUGGUGAGGCACUGGCACAGACUGCCUGGAGAAGCUGUGUAUAUCCCAUCACUGGAAGCCAGGUUCAUUCAGUGCCAGGUUGGAUGGGGCCCUGGGCAGCCAAAUCUGGUGGGUGGCAGCUUUACCCAUGCCCAGUGGAUUGGAACUAGAUGAUCUUUAAGGUCUCUCCCAACCUAAGCCAUCCUAUGAUUCUAUGACUGUUCAGCUACAAUGAAAGGCUAUAGUCUUCAGCUGGCGGCUGGACACUGGAUUGCACUCAUAAAAUAGAACUGCCUGCAAGGACUGAAUGCCAUAAUUAACAGGCAUUUUUUAGAAAUUAUUGGUUAAUGUAAUAGAAAUACUGCCAACUGUUGUUGUUAAAACCUAAGUUUGUUCCUUUGGUGGUAAUGCAUAAUGACUCAACACUGCUUCAAUGGGAAGAUACCUUUGUCUGUUACAUAUUGCUACCUUCAUUUGUACAAUGGUUUAUAUGGCAAAUAAUACAAAUUCUGAAACUUAAAGACAGCUUCAGGAAGUAAUCAGAGUGCCACCCGUGUCCUGAGCAAUCGCAGUACUGGCAGUACAACAAGGCCUUUUUAUCAUAUCAUGGCAUUAAUGAUCCAGUCCCACUCCCACGGCAGGCAAUGUGGCCUUUAUCACCAAUGCUGUUUAAGCAGGACUAAGCUUAAAGGGUUCUAGAACAGGGAAAGAUGCUAAUCUAAGUUUCACAUCCAUCUGGUACAUUUCUCAUGCUGGUUAUACACGACCACCCAGAGAACUACUGCACAUUUUUAGUAACAAACUCUAUGAGCCCUACCAGGGAAUACAGGUUGUCCUCAGAUAAUGGGAUCUACUCAUAUGAUGCAGAUGUCUUAUCACCUAAGAACAUUUUCACAAUAUUACAAUAGCGACCGAAAGGUUAUUUCUCAAACCCUGUCUGUCACCCAGUAGGUACCAGCUGAAAAGUUUCUGUUUGAUUGCUAAAGAGUAGAAAGCAAUGAACACACAUUGGCAAAUCUUAGAUCAGGCAUGAUGUGGAUGUUGCACACCUCAGACUAACGCCCACCUUCACUUCAGGGAAAGGAGAAACCAGACCUGCAGACACACUAAUCGCUCCUGCUCUCACCUGGUUGGAAAUGAACUGCAGAACCUUGCUGCUUUCUAUUUACUGCACUGAGAGCCAGUGAUUUCUGAGUACUUCCAGUCAUCAACUGCAUGGCUAUUGCAGCAUUUUAUGAUGUAAAAUCCUCCUAAUGUACGAAUUAAAAAAAUAUAUAUGCAGUCUGUGCUGAGAUUGACAAUUCUGAUACAAGAGGGGGAGGUGAAGUCCAAUCUCUGCUCAGCUGGGAGGAACGCAAAGGUGAUGACACACCACUUAGUUUUGGGACAGCUUGGAGGUGUGGGUGUAUGACCCACCAAAGCGGGGUCACUUCACCCAAAGGAGGGCAAGCAGCAGAACUGGGCUGUCAUGCACAAGACUCAAACCAUCAGACUGUGCCAGAGUCAAAAUGAGAGCUCCCAGAGCUGGUUUCCAGCUGCACCCACUGCUGAGCAGAGACUGCAUCCCCAUCAAGUGCAGGAGGUCAUGUCCUUCAGCUGCUUCUAAGGGGAAGGCGCUUCAGAGCACACAGGCACAGUCAGCAACGCUGGUGGUGGACACAUGCAGACGUGGCCGAGGAAAGCUAAACAGGAUGCAUCAGCACCAAAGGGAUCUGGGCAGCCCAUCCCACUGGCUUUCAGUAGCACUGAAUAUGACGGGCUCUUGGACAAACCUGUGGAUCCCAGCCUGCCAUGUGACACUGCUAAGUGACUCUUGUCAGUAGAGCGUAGCAACUUGACUUAUUCCCUUCUGCAGAGCACACACUGGCCUGUGUACUGUCCAGGGGAGAAGCAGAGCCUCGCAAUUGGAAGGCGGGCACCAAAAGACACACGUGGGGCUGGAAGCUGGACAGUCCCAGCACCCAGCUCAGAAAUAAAACUGCUUUUACAGCAAGGAUUUCAGUAUAUGGUCUGGCUGUUGCUGACCUUGUCUGAGAACCUCUGGCAGCAGUGUGCCCAAUAGUUGACACGCUGCAGGCCUCUAUCAGAUGACAUUGCUAUUACAGUGCCUGGAGAGGUGGGGAAGUUCAUAUGUUAACAAACAAUACUGAGUGAAUUGAUUCCUCCUGCCUGCAUUGCCGUUGCUGUUCCACUCCCUCCACAAAACUAGGCUUUAGGAUACAGUUUAUUCCCUUUUCCAUGUAUCACUGUAACUGCAGUACUGUUGUAGACCAGCUAGAAGAAGUGGAGUUGUGAAUUCACCUUCUCUUUGGAAAUGUUACUCCAUCCACCCACACCUCUUUCUUCUUUGCUAACUCCAGUCAUCCAUCCCCAGGACCUACACCCACACUGAUCCCAACUCACUGAUGAACAUACAUGGAAACGGGCCUUGCUAAAUAGAUUGCAGCUCCUGUUCCAUAGCUGUGUUUAUAGGAUCAUUUGGAUACUAAAUCUAAUACAUAAAUGAGAACCCACUGGUUGAGUAAGGUCUCUGGAUUUAGUGCUCGCUCCAUGAAACAGGUUACUCAGCACAGCAGCUCCGGGUGCCCCAGGACACAGGGCUCAGCCAAGUGGAGGCCUGACCCCAAAGAGACUAACUCUGAUGCUGUUUGGGAACUUCUCCCCAUAGUGACAGGACACUCAGAACCUGAGUGAGGAGACACCUGAACCAUUCAGGAGGACUCCAGCUUCCACCCAACAGAGGUCCCAUCAGCCAAGCUGCCAGAGGUGCCCUGGAGUCCCAUCCCUCUCUCCCAGGGAAAGCCCUGCAACGCUGGGGCCCUAUGAGCUUGGGCUCAUUUCAUUUAAGUCUUCCCACUUUAUAGCAACAAUGUCCUGAAAAGAUUGGAGGAUGCAGAACAAACAGAAACUCAGCAUGGCACAGCGAUGCAAAAAAAGGUUCCAAAAGGUCAAGACAGGGAGAAGUGGAUGAACUCUGGUAUUUUAACAGCUCGGCAUUGAUGCCAUAAAUUAAAAGGAGGUGUGCUGGAUGUUUUAUUUUGUGUGUGUGGUAAACUGUACAGUUAGAGUCUGAAUAAACCUCUUUUGUCAAUUUUACUACCUUUCUGAUAUAAAAAUAAAUAAACUUAAACAAAGAAGAAGUGGAGACCUGCCAAGCCAGCCUACUUUGGUAAGAACUGCACUGACAAGGGAGCAAUUGUGUCUUAAAGCUGAGGGGCUGAAACGAUCAGCUUUUUUGGGCUGGCAAAGCCCUUCUGGAAGGGAGCUGCUCUGUAUGCAGGAGGAGCUACAGGAGAAGGAAAAAAAAAAAAAGGACACUCAUCUAAAAGGCAACAAAAGAACAUCAUUAAAAUUUCUGCUACCAGAACUGCUUCCCUGUUUGAUGGGAAGGCUGCAGGUAAAUAGCUGCUGCAAAAUAUACCAGGGUAACAGCACCUAGGAGCAUUUUAAUGGUGAUAUAAAAUUCACAAGUAGAUGAUAUAAUGUACUAAGUAACUUAUUAGGCUGAAUAUAAAACAAAGGUAUCAAGAAUGAUGGUUUUACUCUGCAGUGAAUCUCAGCAAUGAGUUCUAGGCUUACCAGUCCAAUGCCAAGCAUGAGAACUUCCAGUAGGCAGCAACACGUAAUUACCGCUGGGUGGAGGUGAAUCAACCACUUUCCGUCACGAAGCCAAUGAGGGACCCUCAGACAAUCUGCCAAAGGUGGGUGGGUGAAUGAGUGUUACUUUCCUGCUAGGCUCCCAUCAGGGCACCACACCUUGUGAUAUUAUCUCUGUAAUAACCAAACAACUUUAAAUGAUAUUGUGUCACUGCAAAUGAAGCAGGAGGGUGACCCAGCAAGUCAGAUUUCAUUAGUGCAUGAGGGACUGCACUCCAGCAUGCAGCUACACACACACACACACACACCCCUUCAGACCCUGGAAACCUCAGCCUGCAAUGCAGAGCAAUCUAAACUUUACCCAUACUUGCCUGAGAUUGUGUCUCUUCCAUGAGAGAUGCACAUGGACUUGCACAUGCACAGCAGGCUUAUCACUACACCCAUGUCCUAUUUGCUUUUCUGUGUGUCACUGUUGAAAGUUUUCUAAUGCGCUAGGUAAGAAGAUUGCAAAUGAAGCAGAACUUCAGCUGCUCAAUCGCAUUAAUACGGGUACAGUAAAAGAUGACAGGAUUACACACAGUUCGUCUAAUUAGCAAGCCAUGUGCAGCAUUGCCUGCCCAAGUGUUCAUGCACUCAGGCUCGUUGCCUCCCACCACUGCACCUUUCCUGCCUCUUUCCUCAACUGCAAUUGCCUGCUUUAGUUCCAGUCACAGGGGACGUAUCUGGUCUGCCAUAACUUUCCAGCUGUGAACACACCAGUGACUCCUGCCAGCCCUCCACUGUUCUGACUAGCAUCUCCAAGAGCUUUCCACGCAGAAGGAGUGACUCAGAAGACUUUGGAGAUGUCGCACUGGCUGGGAGCAAGUGCUGUUGUCUGCCACAAGGAGAGAGCUUCAAGCCAUCCAAGGGCAUGCCAUAUUGGUUCACAAGGGCCUGAACUACAAUAGUUAGGUAAGUUUGAUGACAGAAAGUAAGAAAGAAAACGAUUGGAAAGUCACCAGGUCAGACUGCGGGGCCAGAGCAGGAAAAAGGCUUUGCCAAAGUCAUACCUAGCAAAACUCAACCGUCUUCUGUGAAUUCAACCUCCUAUAGGCCAUUGUGCUAAUGUGUAUUUUGGCAAGUGCCUGACCCUUCCUGUUGACUGAAAUACUCAUGCUCUCUAGAAAUGACUAGGCCUGCACUCAACUCUCCAAGCAGCUAACCUUACCCCUUCUUCUUUCUUAUUUCUUCCUCUUGCAAAACCAGUCAAAUCCCUGCUGGGUGCCAGGGUCAGACAAUACCAUACUUCUACCAUCUGUUGGUCUGGUUCCUCCUCGUUUCCUGUUUCUUCCCUCUAGGACUGCCUUAUGGUAACACAAAAGCCAUGGCAACAACAGUAGGAAGGUCACUCUUGGUGGCCAGGCUGGGAAGAAAGGGACUCCCAGCAGAGGAGAAGUAGGUGUGCCCUGGUUAGGUUGCUUCUGAAUUUGACCUGCUUAGCCACUCCCUACCAAAAAUCUCCUCAACCAGCACAUCAGGCUCAUGCUGUAGGUGUCACAAACUCCACACAUGUAAUCAACUGGCUUCUUCUGAAAGGGAUUAGCCUAGGCAUUAGGAAAGAACUAGGUGUCAUUUUUAAGGUAUCAGUACAUUUUUUGGGGGUAAUAUUCCCAAGCAAGUCCAUUUGGAAGCCAUUUCCAAACACAUGGACAAGAAUGCAACUGAGAACAGGCAGUGUGGAUUUACUAAGGUCAAAGUGUACCUGGCCAACAUGGUUGUCUUCUGUGAUGGAAUGACGUACUGGAUGAACAAGGUUAGGGAUGCUGUGGAUGUCACUUACCUCGGUUUUAGCACAGCCUGUAACACUGUCUCCUGUUCAAAGCAAACUGGGGUGGUACAGACUUGAUGGAUGGCCCACAGCAUACCUGGAAAAAGUACGUGAAGCUCAAAAGGCAGUAAUGGUCAACAGCUAGACUUUUAAUUAAUUGGCAUUAAGAAAUGGCAUUCUUCAAGGGACAACACUAGGGCCUGUCUUCACCAGCAUCCUGGAUGAAAGGCUGCAAUGCACGUUCUGCAUGUUUGCGCAUGACGCUGUGUUCAGGCUGUCGAUCAUUAUGCUGGAGGACAGGACAGCCAUUCACAUAUUCUUCAGCAGCCUCAAAGACCAAUCUUACAGAAAUCUCCUCAAAUAUACCAAAGAGACAGACAAAAUCUGCACGCGAUACAGAAUUAAUCUGAGCAACAGCAGAGGAUGGGAGCUGAGUGGCUAGCAAGGAGCUUCACUGAAAAAAGCACCUGGGGUCCCAGUGGACAAAAUGCUCAUCAUGAGUCAGCUGUGAGGCUGUGCAGUGGUGACAGCCAAUUGCACCCUCACUGCACAGGAUGUAACGGAACCAGAUGCUCAUCAACAGUGCACAGUGCAAGGGCAAUGACCGCAAGCUGUAGUAGGAGAAAUUCCAUUGAAUGUAACUGGAGAAACGCUUCAAAAUGAAAGCUGACAUGCACUGAAACGGGUGCCCAAAGAGGUUUGUGAAAUCUCUACCUUCCAACAUUGAACAGCAAAGCCCUAAGUAGCCUAAGCUCAUGCUGAAGUCAGCCCCCUUUGAGGAGGUUGGCUGCAGCCCUCUAGAUGCUCUUUCCAACCACAAUUAUUUGAUGAUUUUUAAUUUUUUUUAAGCAGCUGUUCAUCUGGGAGACCUGGCUGGAGUUGGUUACAGAUUCCUCGAAAAGAACGAAGCUGUUAUCUCCACAGCAUCACCUGCCAGUUAUUGCUUAUUUGUAAUAUGAAUGAAUUCAGUGCAUACAUCACAAGUCAAGAGACUUCAGUUCUGAGAUUUUAUCUUCGAGGAUCAAAGAACUGAACUUUCUCUCUCUGAUCUUCAACCUGAGCAAAAAAAAAAGAGGUCUGUCUUUAACGCACUGUCAAAACCUCCCCACUUCAGAGGCAGCAUGAGAAAGACUGUUUCUGGGCUUUAUUUUGGAUUUAUGCAGCUCUCACACGUUCUUGUGGUGACAACUGGACAUGUUGUGAGACUUCCUAAUAAAACAAUUGUUUCGGCCUGAAAUGUUGUAGAAGCAGUGUAUAACAUAUGGCCUCCAAAUGCAACACCUACUUCAGCAUCUGCACCCUACCAUAUAUACACGUACAUUUAUAUACAGCAGUCCAGGCUGCCAAAGGCUCAGAAGAUCUGCUAGCUACCAUGAAAAAUGGCUGCUGGCUCUUAGCAGAACCACACUGCAAAUGUGGGGUGUGGAUCCACAAGGCUGUGCCUUCCAGCAGCAAGGGCUGCAGUGCCAGGUGUGCCGGCACACCAGGAGAAGCUAAGGACAGAGGACUCCCCAAAAGGCACUGGUGUGCAAGGGCAUUUUUACCUCCCAGGCUGAGCAGAGACACAGGUCCCCAGCGAGUCGCAGCCCCAGAUGCCCCCUGAAAAACCACAGCUGACCCAGGCACUCUGCAAGCCUGCGGUCAGAACCACAGUGGACACCCAGAGAAAGUAACAGACUUAGCUCUAAUCCCUGCACCAGUUGGUCUCGCAGACCCCGACACAGAACCCGGGCUGAGAAGCAAAAAAUAAAUAAAUAAAAGUAAAAACCCAUAUGUAUUUGAAAGCAUGUCCAGAAACAAACAAGCAAAACCUCUUAUCCAAACAAAUCAUAGUUAGAUCUUGGGUGAGACCAUGUUUAUGAAGGUUUAGCCAAGGAGCUUGCUUGGAGAUACCUCUCCAGCCUUAGCAUAACACAACCAGCCUGGACAAGUGCUACUAGAAAACACUUCAUUAAAACGCUGUUGUGGUAUUUAUUUAUAGGUAGCAAUUUAUAUCACACCCAUCGUACACACCAAUCCGGCAGCUAUGAUUGUCAAAUCAAACUGCUUCUUCCAUAACACCCCCUGCCCCCAGCCCACCUCCCGCUGCCACUCUCUUAGCAAAACAACUGUUUCCCACCUGACACGGCUGUCCCUCUGAAUAUAAGCCUUUGUUUGAACUUACUGAGCCCUACGUGUUCCAAACACAGGUGGGCAUCAAAGAUGCAACAGCCUCAUCAAGAGCCGGGCACACAUCUGUGGUGCUCUGCAUUCUAUUCUGUGAUUCUAUACAACCAGUGACCACUGCAGAGCUCUCCCCAGGAGACAGCUGGCAGCUGCGUUCUGCAUCUGCUGGAGAAUCCAAGUGGCUCUGGACGUAUCAAGGAUAAUACCAGAGAAGCUUCUCUGCGUGUUGUGGACACUGGUGGAAAAGGCAGUGUGAUAAAACACCUUACAAGAAAGCCCUGGGUGUGUCUUCAGCGAGGGGAAGGAAAAAAAAAAAAGAAAAGAAAAGAAAAAGAAAGGAAGAAAAAAAAGACUGGCAAAAAAAGAGGUUAGAUGAGGUAGCUGGGACUGCCGGGGGCAAUCUGAAAUCAGUUUACAUUAGAGCAGGUUGCUCUUGAUUUUGCUACAGCAGUUGUCACGCUUGGUAAGAAUAACAAGCUAUUCAUACGGCAGCCACCAUUGUGCAGCUCAGCACAUGCAGCCUAGUGGAAAGAAAUCCAAGCAAAUGCAGUGACUAGGAUAGGACAGUAAAAAGAAAUGGUUAUGUAAAUAAGUUUCGACUUCAGAAAUCUGCGAGAACAAUUGUUUCCCUGUAAGAGGGCUUCGUCACUGGAGCACGUGAGGCUUUACCCUACAUCUGCACUUCGAAAAGCCCACAUAUACAGCCCGCUGCAGCUCCCAGGUUCUUCCCACCGUCUGUCCCUUUCAAUCUCCAGCUUUUUUUUUUUUUUAAUACUCUCAAGUUCUUCAGCUAUCUAGAGUUCCACCUUCAUGCAUGCCCAGAACUGCCCCAGUCUUGACAGGGCCAAGCAGCUCAGCCCAUUUCACACCUAACUCUGAUCAGGAUCCAGAAACUGGGCGUUGCUUUGCCUGAACCCCCUGAGGGCUUUCAUUGGGGAUUAUAUGUUACCUGGUGACUGUUCCAUGUAAAAUGCAUAAACAGUCCUGGGAGCAGAGUCCAGACUCUCAAACUCCCAUGUGAAUGCUCAAACCAGUAGGAAAGACAGCCACGCUCCCUCGCAUGCACUUGCUUUGUGGCCCAGUGAUUCAACAGCACACUGCUGAGUGCAGGCAAGCAGCGCCGAGCUCCCCAGUGCGUUGUCUGGAUGCUCUGCAAGAGGUGGACGGUGGGAAUGAUGACCCUGAGGACCACAGCGACCCAGUUGGUCACCUUCUGGCUGCCAGCAAUCAAUGUUUCAGAUUAAAUAUGUUUGCUGUGACAGAAAGGCUGGCUGUACUCACCUUGCAGAGGAGCUGUUGGGAUGGGUGUCUGCAGACUUAAAAACUUCAGGUUUUCCUAUUAGUAUCCUGGGUAUAACUUCAAAAGCUUCUAUCUGCAAAUGGUUACACCAGGUAGGUGCUCAGCCUGGGCACUCAGGUCUUGGAGCAUCAAAUGAGGAGGUUGGUGAAGUAGCACACGCUAAGGCAUAAAUGCCAUUGGGAAAAUCUGUGCUGAUACUACUGCUUCAGAAGCAAAGUCCUACUUACCCCAGCACUGCUCUAACUCCCUCCUGGGUAAGGCUCUCUCCCUGACACACUUUGGUCCAUGUCUCUUAAUUUACAGGAGGGAAAAAGCUUGGCUUCUUCCAAAGGCCGAAGAACUGUACUCAGGUAAUUCUUAAAUAGCAACAUGCUCUCUGUGUCAAUUUGCACUGCUCAAAGACACAUUUUUUCAAGAGUUAUUUACUGUAAAAAUGCACGAAUGAUAACAUUUCUUUGAAGAAACAUCACACAAGCCCAAAUGCACCAGAAAAAGCCUGGAAAACACUCUAUUUUGCACACAAAGCAAAAGUUGCUUCUAAGUUUCACUUAUUGCAGCAACUGCUUCACAGCCAGUUUCCCAUUUGCCUCAAUGCCCAGAUAGUUCCUUUGGAAACCACUCAGCACACCCAGUACACACACGUGAAACGUAGGGAUGGAGCUACAGGCCAAAUCACUUCUAGCAAUUGCUCUCAGGUGUCACUGAGAGCAGAGCUGUUCACGUUGCGCCCAGACCGUGAUCUGGGGGCAACACCUCCUUCUGGUACCUCAGAAGGACAUGGAAAGAAAAAGCUUUGAAAACUCUUCUCAAAUGUGUAAUUCGGCCCAUAACCCACUGGGUUUCCACCACCACUCACCUUUGGGUUGUCACUGCAUUUCCUACUGCGGGCAACAUGAGGGACUCCCAGCUAAAAGCAGAAGCAGCUGCCAGCCGUGCCGUACAGCCACUGCUCCAACAAUCUCAUGCCCUCUGCAGCUUGGCACAAGGCAGAGGGAGAGAUGCCAUCCCUGCUGGCUCCAGCCCCAGGACCACCAUGAGCUGCAGAGCCUAUGGGUGCUGCGGGGCACACACAGCGUGCUGACAUCUGUCACAAAGGUUGGUGGUUAUUUUGACUGUGCCACACGUGUCUGUUGGGCAAAAUGCAAGUGCAAAGAGGAAUGCAGACAACGAGCACUCCCAGCAUUUCAUAUCUAAGACAGCGUGAAAUACUACAGUGACCUGGGGCUGUAGCUAAGCACCUGAGCACCUCUAAAUGAAUGUAGAUACAGCAGCUUUUAAGCAAGGCCUCUGUUAGGACAGAACAGGCUAUAGAAGCUGUACGGAAGAAGGCUGGCAGGUGAACGAAGGGUGCUCCCCUCUGUGAGGUGCAGCAAAGCCCAGGGCUUAUGGGAGAGCAGAAGCACCUGUCUGAGGCUGACAACUGCCAGGCAUGUGAAGUGCUGAGGCACACGCUGAGGAAGCAUGUUGGUGUGCUAAGGGAAGGCUGCAUGGUCCAGCAGUAGCAAUGCAGCUCUCUGACCACAGCACCACUUGCAGGGCACUGAGCAUGCUAUCCUAUGCAAAUUCGUAAUGGCUUCAGGAGAAAAUUAACAGAUGGUCGUGGGGGAAAACUCCCAAGGGGUUUUUUUCCCCCUUCUCGGUGCUAAUAGACUACUUACCAUUUUCUGAAACCACCUGCACAAUUUCCCAGGCAUCGUGGUUGGCUGCUGGCGAGAACAGAGUGUGACUGUAGUGCUGUUUGCAGCACUAAGAUGGCUUUCCAUUAUGCGCCUCUCACGUGUCCAUGAAAGGCUGCAUAACCCAGAAAUUCACUGUCAUGAUGGGGGUUGACAACUAAUGCCCAGGAUCAGGUUCAGGGAAUGCUUAACGUUUUCUAGCUGAUCACAUUACUUCAGGUACCAGAUAUACCAGCUUUCCCAUUGAUAUUAGGGGAUAAGCAAAUCCUCACUGGUCUUUGGAGGAAUAGUGCAGUGUAUCACUGUUGCUAGUGACUCCUGAAACCCACUGCAACAGAAACAAUACAUGUUACCCCAAACAAAGUGCAGCAAGAGGAAAUAGCACAACAUCCAGGGACAGGCACAGAAAGCUCCACCACCCUGUGUGUAUAAUGCUGUGGGAAGGUGAGGAUGGGCAGCAAACACGUAACUCAUGAGUAAUGAACACGUGGAUUUUCAUGUGGCAUCACCCUUCUGCAAGGGCUGCCAGCCAGUAAUGCUUGCUGCUCUCCCUGCCAGGACAUGUGACUUAUGGCAUGGCCACAUGUUCCUUCAGAGCAGCGUGGCAGCACAGGAUCUAGGACUUCAUGCCACCUUCCUCCUAGCUUUGCUCUGGCUAAAAGGUAUUUGCUCAGAUCCUCAGCUCAACCAGAUUUCAUAGAAGUAGGUAUCAGUUCCAUUACAAUCCGGCUGCCCACACCAGGUGUUCUGGGAUAAACAUCCUCAGAACAUCAGACCAAUUCAAGAAUCUCUGCAAACUGUACUGCUUGCCAACCAUCCAGCUGCAGCCAGUCACACAGGUACAGACACACAGGGCAGCACCAGCCAUGCCAGCUUCCCCCCCGGCCAAUGUUUGUUCUUCCUUUCUUCCUUCCCCUUUUUAGCAUCUCACAACAGUCAGGCAAAUAGGAGGAGCAUCCAAAAUACUCCUCUCCUGGCAGCCAACAGCCACUGACACCAUUUCCUGAUGAAUGUGAACACUCAAGUUGCAGGAAUCCUCAUUCCAUCCCACUGCAAAGACCCUCCAAUCUCCCAAGUGUACUUCCCUGUAUGCUCCUCAUCUUCCUCACUUCCACAGCUGCUACACAGCCUCAGUCCUCUGCUCACUGCCAGUCAGUGAAUGACUGCAGAAAGCCCCUCCUCACCGCUCCUCUGCCACUGCCUCCACUGGGGGCAGGCCCAGGAGCUUAAGAAGCCUUUGGUAUGGCUCUGGUACCAGACAGAUGCUGAGCUCACAGCCAGAUGUGACCUGCUCUGUAGGGAAAAUCUUCCCUCCCCAAGCUCGUUCCCUCCCACCUUGGUUAACAGGCAUUUGGAACCGGGCUGUUGAUUUGUUAAAGGAUCAUUGCCUUUUGAAAUCUCAUUGCAGGAAGCCAGAAAUUGCAGUUUGCAAUCUGCAUGGUUCCUGUUUCCAAAGGUGACCUCAUGCAUAUGUGCACUUGUGCCGUGCACCCCAGCUACCUUCCUUCAAGAAAUACCUACCUGUGCGUGUGGCAAAGCCCCUCAUGGACCUGUGCUGUGUGUGAUGGCAGUGCCACGCUGCCUGUGUGUCGGCAGUGCCUGCUCUUGCAGUGUGCACAUCACAGGCUCUAUUUCAGGGAAUAGCUGUGUGACAUCCAAUGUGCCUCGGGCCGGUGCAGCUGAAGGACAUGAGCAUUAAGAGUUACAAAUGAGAAUGUGUGGUUAGCUGGCAGCUGGCACAAGUAUUGCUUUUUUGUGAUAAGCACUUUAAGUGUCUCAUGAAUAGGAAAGCCUUUUCUAACAAACCCUGCCUGCGCUCAGUAAGUGAACCACAAAGGACAGAAUCCAACACUGCCUGGUGUCUCAAGGCAACUGUUCCUUGGACAACAACUAUCUUUUUUGGCAAAAGCCCAUGACAAGGCAGAGGCUGCAAUGCACGCAUGCUCAGUCCCUUGGAAGGAUCCUCUCAGACACCCAUGUUUGAAUUUUAACUGCUGGCCAUGGGCCAGGCUCUGAGAUGAUGUAGGUGGUCUUGCAGGUUGCAUCAGUACCUUCACAGGGUGCAGUAAGUGGGUCAGCUACCACCACAGCUCUGCACUGGCAUACUUCCCUAGGGAAGGUGCACAGGUCUGACUGAGUCUAAGGGAGAACUUCCCAGGAGACAAGUAAUGCUCUAUCUACUAUUUCAUCCUUUGCUCAGUUUCCAAGACAAGCACUGGCAAAACAUGGAAGGUUCUUUUGCUGCUGUUGCUGUGGAUCCCCAGCUACAAAUCCUCCGCACAGACGUUGAAAAUAAUCUGUGAGAACACGGAUUGUUUCUAAACUGGCAUUUUCGUCUAGAACUGUGUCGGAUACAAUGGUGAUGGAAGGACAGUUAAGCUAGGCCGAUUUGUUACAGUAAAGCUGUGUUGUACUUCAGAUUACUUAUUAACAAACAGCAAAUGGGCCUCUGCCUUGACCUUUUUCAUUUGAGCAAAUAUACUCUUCCUGCCCCCUGUAAACAGCAGGGACUGGUAACUCAGUCACGUACCCCUCACAUUACCAAAGUUAGCUUUCUUCAUCUGCGGCAAGGAGUUCAGUCAAACUGAAUUCUGCCAAGCUCACUAAGGUUAUUAGCGGUGUUAUUAGCCUUAAUAAUACCAGCAGUAAUAAUAAUUCUCUGGAUCACCGUAGACUUGAGAACAUCUAAGUAAUUCAAAAAUAUUAAUUAGAAAAACUCAAUAGGAGGUCUGAGAAACCACCAAAAAUCGUCAGCCUCGCUUCACAGAGCUAAGAGCUGAAAAUAGAGCCACAGCAAGCAGAAGCAGCUGUUAGCCUGAUGAGUUUCAAUUAAUGGGUGUUUCUUUGGUGUCAUGAAAUGCCAGGUGCCCGGUGCCUCUGGCAACACUACCAGGUUAAAAGCAGCAGCCCACAGUACGUAUCUGGAGCAAUAGCAGGUUUGGGAACUGGAAUCCAAAGGAUAGAUCUGCCAUUGAGACUUGGCCUUAGAGUGGGAUGCACUCUAGGUGCCUUGUACAUUGGGAAUAAUGGCCCCUUAGGCUCUUUGGAAAAUUCCAGUCCUGAUGAUCUUCAGUGUAGCUGAAGACCAAGAACACGCCUAGAACCUACACAUGCUCUCGUGCCAACAUGCCAUCAAUACCCACUCCUUUUAUAUUAAACCUUUUUGAGUGAAGAAGGCAAACUGUGACAAACACUCCACUGCAAUAGCUAACUCUAUUUCCUACCUAAUUAUUUCCCUGACUUCUCUCUAUUGCUAUUAAAGCUCAAGGGGUGGCCAAGUCAAGACAACAGCACCAAGAAGUUUGCAGCGUUCAUCUUGGUUCUAAGUUAAUUUUUCCUGUAGAUAUCACCCCAAUCCACCUUGAAUCACACAGCAUUAAGCACUCAGUAAACAAGGUGAAAGUUUCAUCUAGAUUCUUAACCAGUGAUGUUGCAGAGUCUUUGCAGCAAGGGGUAAUUACUUGUAUUAAUUACAGACUCCUCUAGGGUACAUUAUGCCACUGCACAGAGAGGAUUGGACAUACAAAUUGGAGGAGUGACUCUUUUUGCUUUCUUUGAUUUGUUCAAAAACCUUACCAUUUGCAGGCAUGGGAAGGACGCAGGCACAGUCAAUCUCAGUGUUUUGUUUGCAGUCAGGAUGACGCAGUGCCAAGAGCAACAGCUUCACAAUUGAGAGAUCCAGGUGCUGUUUCUCACUCUGACACACACCGCUCACGUGACCCGGAGCAUGUCACAUAACCUGUCCGUCCCCAUCUGUAAAAUUAGGAUAAUGGUAGUUAGCUCAUGUUUAAGCCUGAAAGAUGUCAAAACAUAAGAAAAAGGAAGCUUCUCUUCACCGAGUCUUCAUCCAUCAAUGUCUUAAGAGUCACAAAAAGCACUGUGACUAGAUUGAUGCCAUUUUCCUGCUUAUGGUAUGAUCACUGGUGUCUGCCCAGUGGGAAGUUUUUCCACACAGUGACUGUGCUCACUCAGUAAGGCUGGUUU
This is a long non-coding RNA of Gallus gallus (chicken), 28981 nucleotides long. The record is from Ensembl. NCBI's taxonomy places the organism in Eukaryota, Metazoa, Chordata, Aves, Galliformes, Phasianidae.